GCUGGCGGCGUGCUUAACACAUGCAAGUCGAACGGAGUUGUCACGCUGAUGAAGCUUCGGCAGAAUCUUGAGACAACUUAGUGGCGGACGGGUGAGUAACGCGUGGGUAACCUGCCCUUUACCGGGGGACAACAGUUGGAAACGGCUGCUAAUACCGCAUAAGCGCACAGCAUCGCAUGAUGCAGUGUGAAAAACUCCGGUGGUAAAGGAUGGACCCGCGUCUGAUUAGCCAGUUGGCGGGGUAACGGCCCACCAAAGCGACGAUCAGUAGCCGGCCUGAGAGGGUGAACGGCCACAUUGGGACUGAGACACGGCCCAAACUCCUACGGGAGGCAGCAGUGGGGAAUAUUGCACAAUGGGGGAAACCCUGAUGCAGCGACGCCGCGUGAGUGAAGAAGUAUUUCGGUAUGUAAAGCUCUAUCAGCAGGAAAGAAAAUGACGGUACCUGACUAAGAAGCCCCGGCUAACUACGUGCCAGCAGCCGCGGUAAUACGUAGGGGGCAAGCGUUAUCCGGAUUUACUGGGUGUAAAGGGAGCGUAGACGGUAUUGUAAGUCUGAAGUGAAAUGCUGGGGCUCAACCCCGGAACUGCUUUGGAAACUGUAGUACUAGAGUGCAGGAGAGGUAAGCGGAAUUCCUAGUGUAGCGGUGAAAUGCGUAGAUAUUAGGAGGAACACCAGAGGCGAAGGCGGCUUACUGGACUGUAACUGACGUUGAGGCUCGAAGGCGUGGGGAGCAAACAGGAUUAGAUACCCUGGUAGUCCACGCGGUAAACGAUGAUCACUAGGUGUUGGCAUCCAAAGGUGUCAGUG
This 811-nucleotide ribosomal RNA is filed under the name uncultured bacterium. RNAcentral describes it as "bacterial SSU rRNA". It matches the Rfam family "Bacterial small subunit ribosomal RNA", at positions 35 to 845 of the family's 1533-position model. The record is from RNAcentral.